RNAcentral lists this ribosomal RNA (429 nucleotides) under uncultured Alphaproteobacteria bacterium. RNAcentral describes it as "bacterial SSU rRNA". It matches the Rfam family "Bacterial small subunit ribosomal RNA", at positions 1029 to 1457 of the family's 1533-position model. Lineage: Bacteria; Pseudomonadati; Pseudomonadota; Alphaproteobacteria. The record is from RNAcentral.
UGCACACAGGUGCUGCAUGGCUGUCGUCAGCUCGUGUCGUGAGAUGUUGGGUUAAGUCCCGCAACGAGCGCAACCCUCGCCCUUAGUUGCCAUCAUUAAGUUGGGCACUCUAGGGGGACUGCCGGUGAUAAGCCGCGAGGAAGGUGGGGAUGACGUUAAGUCCUCAUGGCCCUUACGGGCUGGGCUACACACGUGCUACAAUGGCGGUGACAGUGGGCAGCAAAGGGGCGACCCCGAGCUAAUCUCCAAAAGCCGUCUCAGUUCGGAUUGCACUCUGCAACUCGAGUGCAUGAAGUUGGAAUCGCUAGUAGUCGUGGAUCAGCAUGCCACGGUGAAUACGUUCCCGGGCCUUGUACACACCGCCCGUCACACCAUGGGAGUUGGCUUUACCCGAAGGUGGUGCGCUAACCCGCAAGGGAGGCAGCCAAC